Molecule: ribosomal RNA, 647 nt
Filed under: uncultured bacterium
Lineage: Bacteria
Description: bacterial SSU rRNA
Rfam family: Bacterial small subunit ribosomal RNA
Source: RNAcentral
CAUGCAAGUCGAACGCCCCGCAAGGGGAGUGGCAGACGGGUGAGUAAAGCGUGGGAAUCUACCCAGAACUUCGGAACAACUGAGGGAAACUUCAGCUAAUACCGGAUACGCCCUACGGGGGAAAGAUUUAUCGGUUCUGGAUGAGCCCGCGUUGGAUUAGCUAGUUGGUGGGGUAAUGGCCUACCAAGGCGACGAUCCAUAGCUGGUCUGAGAGGAUGAUCAGCCACACUGGGACUGAGACACGGCCCAGACUCCUACGGGAGGCAGCAGUGGGGAAUAUUGGACAAUGGGCGAAAGCCUGAUCCAGCAAUGCCGCGUGAGUGAUGAAGGCCUUAGGGUUGUAAAGCUCUUUUACCCGGGAUGAUAAUGACAGUACCGGGAGAAUAAGCCCCGGCUAACUCCGUGCCAGCAGCCGCGGUAAUACGGAGGGGGCUAGCGUUAUUCGGAAUUACUGGGCGUAAAGCGCACGUAGGCGGCUUUGUAAGUCAGAGGUGAAAGCCUGGAGCUCAACUCCAGAACUGCCUUUGAGACUGCAUCGCUUGAAUCCAGGAGAGGUGAGUGGAAUUCCGAGUGUAGAGGUGAAAUUCGUAGAUAUUCGGAAGAACACCAGUGGCGAAAGCGGCUCACUGGACUGGUAUUGACGCUGA